GCAUCUAGAAUUUUAUGAAAUGGAACACCACAUAAAUGUUUAUCCUUCGUAAGUAAUUGUUUCGUUAACUGAGUAGAUAGGUCAAGAAUAUAGGAUAACGAUUCUCUCUUGAUCUGAUCUCCUCCUGAGAAAAAAUACAUGUAGGUGAUUGGUAGUUAAUAAAUUAAAAAAUUAAAAAAUUAAAUUCUACCCAUACACUAUUACUUAAAGACAAAUGGAACAAGAUUUUUAAAAGCUCAUGAGAGCUCAGAUCAGGAGAGGAUCUUUAUCCCAAGAAUAUAAACCUAACUCGAGAAGCCAAAAAAUUGUGUUAAAAAGGGUACGGCCUAUUUAAUUAUCGUGUCAAAUUUAAUAAUCUAAAUCUACUUUUUUGUGUUGUGUUCAUGUUUGCUAAAUGGAUUGUAUCAAAUUUUGUUAGUACUAUUUAUAGUAUAUUAGAUAUUUAAAUAAGAUUUGCUUCUAAAACGAGAAUUAUAAAGUUCAGGUGUCUAUUACAUAUGUGUCAUGUAAGGCACCGUCCGACGCAAUGUAGCUGGACCCGUCAUGUAAAUAUAUUAAUCUUUCUAGCAUAUCUCUCUUCUCCCCCCUCUUACUUGUAUAAAAAGAAUUAAUGUCGUUAAUACCAACAGGUGAAUACAAAUGUGCCAAAAAAAAUUUCUUUAUUUUUUCAUAGAGAUAUAAUUUCAUUCCAACAAUAACAUAAUAGUAUAACAACUAGUCCAUAACAGACUUGGAGAUCAAUCUAUAGAUAAUCUGAUAGAAUAAAUAGUUGAACAAACUUUUUACUUUCAUAGUUCACACUAACGAAUAAUGAGAACACAAUGCAUCAGAGACUCUAUUAAAGAGCAUCUCUUAAUCAUGCAUCCAACAUGCUCAAGCUCUAUCGGGAACAUCUCCAAUACCAUGUCUAGAUCAAGUAGUAUGUAUAGUUUCAGGUUUAUGUGCUUUUUUUUUUUUUUUUUCGAUUCCACCCUAUGUGGUGGUUGUGUUCAUUUGGUUGUGUUUCGUGUUGCUGAUGUGUUCAUCUUUCAGAUUUUGUACUUGAAUGGGUAAGAUUUGGCAAAUAGGUGACCAUGAAUCAUUUUCUAAUGUGGAUUUGUUACAUUGCUGGUUGUAUUUUGAACCUAAAUUAAAUCUAUUUAAUUAGUCUUCUGGGAGUAAAUUUAUGAUUUACCUAGCAAGAACAAAAAUUCCUUAGCGACAUCUAAAUUGAUCGUGUACAUAUUAAAAGGAUGUGUAUAAAUCAUUACAUGAUACUUUAGUAUGCUGAUAUUUUUCCUAGCACGUCAGUAUGAGAAAUCAAUUAUUUGUUUAUCUGUUGACUGCAAUGAAUUUAUCUGUACAUUAGUGACACACACACACACAUAUAUAUGUAAUCAUUUUCAGGUGUGGAUGCCUUCAUUUGUUUUAAUGCGAACACGGUUUUAAGCUAUGCGGUUUUAUAACGUUAUGCACUAACUUUAUUGAACUACGCCCGUACUAAAGAAGGAUUAUAUAUAUGUGUAAUAUAUAUACGUAUACAUAAAGUUCAUGCAAACUAAGGUUUUUAUUUAAGCAAUUCACAUUUUAACAAUAAAUGCUCUUCACUCUUGUUUGCUGGUGUAAUUGGAUGGAUGGUUUUGCUUCAAUAUUCUCUGUCUCGCUCUUUCGUUUAUAGUUUUUACCAACUAAUUGAGAGGAAACAAAAACUGUUUGCCGAACGGCCGAACAUGUCCACCGUAUAUAUACUGGGAUCUGUGUAAGUUACAUAAGUAUUAACAACUGAUCGUGUUUUUAAUUACUUUUGUUUAUUAAUAACUUGUAAUGAGAAAUCUAAUUGCACUGAUAAUUUGAGUAAAUUUCAUAUAUUUUCUUUACAUUUUAAAAGUGAAAAACUAAUUUAACACUAUUGGACCAAAAAUAUUAUGGGUCCAACUAAAAUUCAAAUAAAUAUUGUCUAAACAAAGCCGAAGAUGAGUUCUUAGGAUCCAAAGAGAACACAUAUUUAAAAUAUGUGAUUCUUCCUGUUUUUUCGUUUGGUCGAGCUUUCUCAUUGGAAAGUUAUGCUAUAUCUUGAAAGUAUUUGGCAAACCCAGCAGUACUUCAUUCUUGAAGCACACAAGCAGGGGUCCUGUACCACCAACGUAUGAUUUACUCGUGACUAGUCAAGGGAAUAGUACAUGAGUGAGUGCCUGAAUUAUGAGCCUUGCCUUACAGAUAGACAAAUUAUAAUCAUGAGUUUUGUUCCUCAGGGUUUUGAAAUCUCAUUACCAAGGGUACAAGUGAUCAAACUUUUAACCCGUCAAAACAUUAACGUAUAAGUAUUAUACGUUCGCUUUUCAAGCUCAUGCAAGUUCCAGUAAUUUGGCACUACAUCAAUGGGCAGACUGAAAUCAAGAGGUGAGUCUCCACUCACCAGACUCUCUUAAUAAUGUAUAACAAGCACCAUACUAAAAUUAGAUACCUUAUUAAAAUGAAACUCCCAAACAUGAUCACAAAGGUCUUCUUUUGUGAUAUGAGUCUACUAGAAUCAUUAAUUGAUCAAAAUUGUAUAAAGGUUGUAUAAAGGUUUAAAAAAAAGAAAUAUCUCAUUAAUUGAUCAAAAUUACUAAGUUCAUCUAUUAGUCAAAAUUAGAAUGAUAAAAAAUCAUUAAAUAAUAAAUAUUCUUAAUUUAUCUGUUAUUGUUUAUAGUAGUUGUAGUACAUAUAUUAAUUAAAAUUUAUUAUGACCGUAAUUUUCAAUAUUUCACAAAUCCCCCUCUCUGUUUCUUUUCUUUUAUUGUGCGUUUUGGUUAUUUUUUAGGGAGAUAGGCCCCCUGAUGCGACUUACAAUUACAGGUGACAUGUCUAAUCUUGCUCACAAUUAGUAGAGACUAGAGAGUCUACGGUCAAAAUUCUUUUUUUUUUUUUAAAAAAAAAGAGUAAUUUGAUUUUUCAGCCACUUUCCUUUUUUGUUAUCAACUAGUCAUAACUCACAAGCGUGACAAUCACUAAAUUCAGGGUGUGUUUGGAAUUGAUGUUGGACAGAUAUAACUUAAAAGUUAUAACAGUAAAGUAUUUGGUAAACACUAUCUGUUGUAACCUGAAAGUUAUGUUAAUAUGAUUUUUCACUUAUAUAAUAGAGAAUCUAUUAUAUCUUCAAUAAUUUUGUCAAAAUUAUUAUUUAAAAUUAAUAUUUAUUACAUAUUAUUAAUUUUUGUUUCAUAGUUACAACUUUUUUUUCACAGCAAUUGUAGCUUAAAAGUUACAACACCUCAAUUCCAAACACACCCCGAAAGUGACUUCCUCACAGCCGGCAACUAUCCACUUGCCAUUAGUUGAAUGCGGGAGUGGAAUCGUGUCUUUUGAAAGUUAAAAUAAAGUUAGAAGGAAACAAAUUGUCAAUGUGGGUUCUUAGAUCAAUUUUAGGACAACCACAUGAUUUUGUUGAUGGAAUAAAUGUCAUUAACGUGUUUAUUUUUUAGAUUUAGAAAAAAUAUCAUGUGUUUAUUUUGGGAUUUAAAAAAAAAAGAAGAAUGAGAAUUAUUAAUAAUAUUUACUUGCUAAAAAUACAAAGAAAUAUAAAUAAAUUUUAAGUGAGUCUCAUAAAUUUAGGAAUGAGUAAGAAUUUCAUUUAGAUGGAAGAGGCGGGAAUAAGAAUGGAGAAAUGAGAAUAAAGAGUAAAAAUCGUUCAUCUUUAUUGAAAAUUACAACUUUCUUUUUACUCCAUUUUGGUAACUUACAAUCAUCUAUUCUAAUUUUAAAAUAAAGUAAACACAUCAAGUUUGGAAUACUGUUGAUUUUGAUCUCGGUUCUUGCAGUUGAAAUAAACAAUUUAUUCUUCUACAUUUUGAUUCCAAUUCAUUUUUAUUCCAAUUCAUUUUUAUUCUUGCCUAUUAGGAUUCAUAGUUAAUAAAUGCACUACUAAUAUAUUGUCAAAGAGACUCUAUUUUUUAGUUUCAUUCUAAUUCAUCUCAAAUCUCUCUCAUAUUGAAUACUUUGUUGAAAUUUAUUAAAGAUAUUUAAAAAAAAAUUUAUCGACAACUCUAGCUGCCAUCUAUAUAAAUAUAUUAAUUUUUUUUCUAAUUAGUGCUUCUUAAAAAGAAUCUACCUCAGCCAACCCAAUCAAUUUUUUCUCCCUCAGCCUUCCAUAGGAUUUGAAUUCGGGUAAUUAAUAAAGUAAAAUUACUUAAAAAUCACUCGGCUAAGUCUUUGAGGUAGUUUAAUCUUAGAUAAAUAUUAAGGACUUAUCAAUUAUCCUAUUAAAAUUAGUAUGUAUAAGCAUAUGGCUAAGGCAAACCAAAUCAAGUACAGUUGACGUUAUAUGUGAUAGAUUAAAUGAUUUAUAGAAGUGAGUCAUCUGUGAUAUAUAUCAUACAACCUAAUUCAUUUGAAUUUGUGAAUAUUGAAUUUGAAAGCAUAUAUUUUGGUAGUCUAUUUUAGAGUAAUUAAUUUUAAUUAAAAAUAACUGUUAUAGUAUUAUCUCAAAACGUCACCUAAAUUGUAAUUUUAAUUGAUAAAAUCUCACGACUAAGGUUAAGAGAUUUAGAGAUUUUACCUAAAAGUAUAAUGGUAGGUAUUGGCGUUUGCCUUGCCCGCUUUAUCAUGGUCCAAAAAUCGCCUUUUGGGCCAUGGAGCGGCUCAUGUGCUUGCUUUGCACAAUCUCUAGGAAUCCAAACUUGAUUUUGUUUUUGGUUUACACAUAUUUCCAUGGAAUUCGGCAGAGAGCAGAUGAUUAGGCUAAUUCGGAGUUGGAAUUCCUUUCUGUUCAGUAGUGGGACCAAACAGGGAGGGAGAACGGGCUGAGCUUGGACAAGCCCAGGCUCAAGUCUGAGCUCAUAAAAGCCCUUCCAAAUUUGGAGGGGCUGAACAGAAGUUGGCCCAUCAUGUGUUUGAGCUUCCUCAACCAUUUCAUUUAGAGAGUGCCUAAGUUACAUCUAUUGUAACUUAUUGCUUUUGUCUUAUUUCCUUUUGGCUAAUAUCAUAUAGAUCCUUUAAUUUUUUUCUAUUUCCAAUUUUUAUAGUUAUGGAUGCAUUUGUCUUCUUCCAUCUCUCAUACAUCUAUUUUUUAUUCUUUCUAGGAUUUUAUUUAUUUCCUUGAACAAUAACAAAUGAUUGUCAAAUUCAUAUAAGUCUACAAAUUCAUAAUAGACAUCUGGUUCUAAAUUUAUUAUUCCUAUCCUUUCUUGUUCUAAUAAAUCUAUUUUUUGGUUUAUUAAAUUUAUAUAUGUAUUUACUAUGUUUUCCCAUCCUAAAAACAAAUGAUCUAUACUACUUGCCAAUUCUUGUAUUGUAUUAACAGCUUGAUUCAUAGCGUUUCUAUUUUAUACCAAUAUAUUAAAAAUUUUAUAAAUUCAUCUAUAAAUUUUAUUUUCUUUUCUAUUAAAAUUUCACCACCUACUGUAUCUAUAAAUCUUUCUCUAAACUCCUGGGUUAGUUCAAGUUCUAUAUUUCUUAUAUUAUUUUUAUCAGUUUUAAUUGCUUUUAUUAAAUUUUUUAUAUCUUCUUUAUCAUAUACCUUUAAUGUAUGCAAACUGUCUACUAUAGUUCUUAUAGGAUCCAUGGAGUCCGUGGCUCUGAUACCAUUUCGUCGUUAUUAAAAUUUAAAUCAAAUAAUCAAAAUUUCAAAAUUACUAAAUUUACAAAAUUACAAAAUUAAUUCGUGCGUUAUUAAAAUUACAAAAUUAACUUACUAAUGCGAAGAAUGAUUCAUAUGAAUAAAUAAACACAUAUGAUCAACAAAUUAUUGUUCAUUCAGAAACAUAGAGAACAUAUAUUUUUAUGUAACUUAAAUAUUAAUAAUAGAAAAGUGCGUGGCGUUGUUACACCCCUAGGUACAGCUAUUAAAAUAGCACUUUGGACCAAUAGCCCGCAACCCAAAGAGGUUUCCAGCCUAUAUACUUUUCAUAUUUCUUAAGUUAUAUUUCAAAUUCUUCAUUAUCUGAAUUAUAGGUAUAUGAAGGUCCAGCUUCAUAAUCUUUAUGUUUCAAAUAUGCUUUUGCUAUAUCAAUUCCUUCAUCUAUUGUUGGCAUAAUUAUAUUAUGUUUUAGAUUGUCUAUUUCAAUGUUUUCUAUAAUUUUCCGUUUUAUUUCUUGAGGUAAAUUAAGUGAGUGUACUGCUAAUAAGUCUUCUAUUCUAACGAGUUCCUAUUUACUGAACAGAUAUGAACUCUAUUUAUAUGAUCCUAUAUUAAAAUCUAUUAUCAUCAUGUACUCAUUGUAUGUUAUUUUAGUGGUUGGAUUUAUUAUGUAUUCUUUAGAUUCUCCUAAAUAAAACUUGUGAUCCAUGUUAUAAACAAAAAGUUUGUUUCAGUUUGAAAGUUUUUCAGUUUAAAAGUUUUGCUCUUACUCCAUAAAUUAUCCCACCAACAACCAUCAACAAACUUCCACCAAGAGAUAAAAGUCGAGUAUUAUUACCUGAUUUAUCCUUUCUCCUUUACCUUCUGAUCUCCUUCCAGUAACCUGCAGCCUGUUUGUCCUGUGCCCUUACAGCGUCCUGCCUCAGCGGGAUCUGUGGACUCAGAUGGAUUUACUGUAUGGAUUUCGAUCGUCUUGAUAAAGAAGUGUUGGAUAAGUUUAGGUUUCUCUUCUUUUUCUUUGAUGGUUUUUGUUUUUGGUUGAUGAUGUUUUGAUUUAGGAUUUCGAGCAAGCAAGUGUUUAGUGAUCCAUCGUUAAUAAUUUCAGAGAAAAAAUGAAGGAUGUCUGAAAACGUC
RNAcentral lists this long non-coding RNA (6670 nucleotides) under Citrus sinensis (sweet orange). Its description in RNAcentral is "long non-coding RNA (CSIN_LNC004379)". The record is from RNAcentral. Lineage: Eukaryota; Viridiplantae; Streptophyta; Magnoliopsida; Sapindales; Rutaceae.